This 426-nucleotide ribosomal RNA is filed under the name Triticum aestivum (bread wheat). RNAcentral describes it as "partial small subunit ribosomal RNA". The record is from RNAcentral. Lineage: Eukaryota; Viridiplantae; Streptophyta; Magnoliopsida; Poales; Poaceae.
AUGGAUGCGGUUCCUCUCACCCGGGAGGGCCGUGGCUUGGGGGUUGGCCGUCUUCCCUUGUCUUCGUCAGUGUUCUUAUUGUUCGUGCUCAGGUGCCCCCUUCAUGUGUCUCUGCUGUGGCGAUGCCUAUGUGACUACACCGGUGGCACACAGGUGUUGUGGCGUCGUCUCGGCUCACGAAACCUUUCGAUUGCGCCCCACGACACAGGUGGUGUCGUGGCGUUGGGCAGUCUCGGUUGCGUGGCGCUUUUCGAUUACGUCGACGGUGCAGUGUCUUGGUUUGGUCUACUAGGUGAUGCCCUUCGGCCUUGUCGGUGGCACACAGGUGUCGUGGUGUCGUCUCGACUCGUGUGUCCUUUCGAUUGCACCCCACGGCACAGGUGGUGUCGCGGCGUUGUGUACUCUCGGAUGCGCGGCGUCUUUUGA